Pygocentrus nattereri (red-bellied piranha) is the source of this 81-nucleotide small nuclear RNA. Its record names the gene U1. It matches the Rfam family "U1 spliceosomal RNA". From Rfam's summary of the family: U1 is a small nuclear RNA (snRNA) component of the spliceosome (involved in pre-mRNA splicing). The record is from Ensembl. Lineage: Eukaryota; Metazoa; Chordata; Actinopteri; Characiformes; Serrasalmidae.
UUACUUACCUGGCAGGGGCGAUGCGGGAAUCUCGACUGCAUAAUUUCUGGUAGUGGGGGACUACGUUCGUGCUCUCCCCUG